RNAcentral lists this ribosomal RNA (223 nucleotides) under Escherichia coli. RNAcentral's name for it is "partial 16S ribosomal RNA". It matches the Rfam family "Bacterial small subunit ribosomal RNA", at positions 1 to 220 of the family's 1533-position model. The record is from RNAcentral. Lineage: Bacteria; Pseudomonadati; Pseudomonadota; Gammaproteobacteria; Enterobacterales; Enterobacteriaceae.
AAAUUGAAGAGUUUGAUCAUGGCUCAGAUUGAACGCUGGCGGCAGGCCUAACACAUGCAAGUCGAACGGUAACAGGAAGCAGCUUGCUGUUUCGCUGACGAGUGGCGGACGGGUGAGUAAUGUCUGGGAAACUGCCUGAUGGAGGGGGAUAACUACUGGAAACGGUAGCUAAUACCGCAUAACGUCGCAAGACCAAAGAGGGGGACCUUCGGGCCUCUUGCCA